AACGCGAAGAACCUUACCUGGCCUUGACAUGUCCGGAAUCCUGCAGAGAUGCGGGAGUGCCUUCGGGAAUCGGAACACAGGUGCUGCAUGGCUGUCGUCAGCUCGUGUCGUGAGAUGUUGGGCUAAGUCCCGCAACGAGCGCAACCCUUGUCCUUAGUUGCCAGCGAGUAAAGUCGGGAACUCUAAGGAGACUGCCGGUGACAAACCGGAGGAGGGUGGGGAUGGCGUCAAGUCAUCAUGGCCCUUACGGCCAGGGCUACACACGUACUACAAUGGUCGGUACAGAGGGUUGCGAUACCGCGAGGUGGAGCUAAUCCCAGAAAGCCGAUCCCAGUCCGGAUUGGAGUCUGCAACUCGGCUCCAUGAAGUCGGAAUCGCUAGUAAUCGCAGAUCAGCUAUGCUGCGGUGAAUACGUUCCCGGGCCUUGUACACACCG
RNAcentral lists this ribosomal RNA (436 nucleotides) under uncultured bacterium. RNAcentral describes it as "bacterial SSU rRNA". It matches the Rfam family "Bacterial small subunit ribosomal RNA", at positions 958 to 1392 of the family's 1533-position model. The record is from RNAcentral.